RNAcentral lists this ribosomal RNA (538 nucleotides) under uncultured bacterium. RNAcentral's name for it is "bacterial SSU rRNA". It matches the Rfam family "Bacterial small subunit ribosomal RNA", at positions 358 to 916 of the family's 1533-position model. The record is from RNAcentral.
GGAAUUUUGCACAAUGGAGGAAACUCUGAUGCAGCGAUGCCGCGUGAGUGAAGAAGGCCUUUGGGUUGUAAAGCUCUUUUGUGGGGGAAGAUAAUGACGGUACCCCAAGAAUAAGAUCCGGCUAACUUCGUGCCAGCAGCCGCGGUAAUACGAAGGGAUCUAGCGUAGUUCGGAAUUACUGGGCGUAAAGCGCGCGUAGGCGGUUUAGAAAGUUAAUUGUGAAAUCCCAAAGCUUAACUUUGGAACAGCAAUUAAAACUUCUAAACUAGAGUUUGAUAGAGGGAAGCGGAAUACAUAGUGUAGAGGUGAAAUUCGUAGAUAUUAUGUAGAACACCAGUUGCGAAGGCGGCUUCCUGGGUCAACACUGACGCUGAGGUGCGAAAGUAUGGGUAGCAAAGAGGAUUAGAUACCCUCGUAGUCCAUACCUUAAACGAUGAUUGCUAGAUGUUGGAAAUUUUUUUUCAGUAUCGCAGCUAACGCGUUAAGCAAUCCGCCUGGGGAGUACGACCGCAAGGUUAAAACUCAAAUGAAUUGACGG